RNAcentral lists this ribosomal RNA (549 nucleotides) under uncultured archaeon. Its description in RNAcentral is "bacterial SSU rRNA". It matches the Rfam family "Archaeal small subunit ribosomal RNA", at positions 1 to 556 of the family's 1478-position model. The record is from RNAcentral.
UUCCGGUUGAUCCUGCCGGAGGUUACUGCUAUCGAGGUUCGACUAAGCCAUGCGAGUCGAAUGCCGCAAGGCAUGGCGUACUGCUCAGUAACACGUGGACAACCUACCCUUAGGACUGGGAUAACCCCGGGAAACUGGGAAUAAUCCCCGAUAGUCCUCGAAGGCUGGAAUGCAUCGAGGGCGAAAGCUCCGGCGCCUAAGGAUGGGUCUGCGGCCUAUCAGGUAGUAGUGGGUGUAGCGUACCUACUAGCCUACGACGGGUACGGGUUGUGAGAGCAAGAGCCCGGAGAUGGAUUCUGAGACACGAAUCCAGGCCCUACGGGGUGCAGCAGGCGCGAAAACUUUACAAUGCUGGCAACAGCGAUAAGGGAACCUCGAGUGCCAGGUUACAAAUCUGGCUGUCGAGAUGCCUAAAAAGCAUUUCAUAGCAAGGGCCGGGCAAGACCGGUGCCAGCCGCCGCGGUAACACCGGCGGCUCGAGUGGUAACCGUUAUUAUUGGGUCUAAAGGGUCUGUAGCCGGCCGGAUAAGUCUCUUGGGAAAUCUGGCA